This 292-nucleotide ribosomal RNA is filed under the name uncultured bacterium. RNAcentral describes it as "partial 16S ribosomal RNA". The record is from RNAcentral.
GGACUACCGGGGUUUCUAAUCCUGUUCGCUACCCACGCUUUCGCGCCUCAGCGUCAGUAUUAUGCCAGGUGGCUGCCUUCGCCAUCGACGUUCCUUCCGAUCUCUACGCAUUUCACCGCUACACCGGAAAUUCCGCCACCCUCUCAUAUACUCCAGUUUCAUAGUUUGCGAUGCUCUUCCCAGGUUAAGCCCGGGGCUUUCACAUCACACUCAUGCUACCGCCUACGCGCCCUUUACGCCCAGUAAUUCCGAUUAACGCUCGCACCCUCUGUAUUACCGCGGCUGCUGGCAC